This 468-nucleotide ribosomal RNA is filed under the name uncultured bacterium. RNAcentral describes it as "partial 16S ribosomal RNA". It matches the Rfam family "Bacterial small subunit ribosomal RNA", at positions 28 to 507 of the family's 1533-position model. The record is from RNAcentral.
GACGAACGCUGGCGGCGUGCUUAACACAUGCAAGUCGAACGGAAAGGCCCUGCUUUUGUGGGGUGCUCGAGUGGCGAACGGGUGAGUAACACGUGAGUAACCUGCCCUUGACUUUGGUAUAACUUCAGGAAACUGGGGCUAAUACCGUAUAGGAGCUCCUGCUGCAUGGUGGGGGUUGGAAAGUCUCGGCGGUUGGGGAUGGACUCGCGGCUUAUCAGCUUGUUGGUGGGGUAGUGGCUUACCAAGGCUUUGACGGGUAGCCGGCCUGAGAGGGUGACCGGCCACAUUGGGACUGAGAUACGGCCCAGACUCCUACGGGAGGCAGCAGUGGGGAAUAUUGCACAAUGGGCGGAAGCCUGAUGCAGCAACGCCGCGUGCGGGAUGACGGCCUUCGGGUUGUAAACCGCUUUCGCCUGUGACGAAGCGUGAGUGACGGUAAUGGGUAAAGAAGCACCGGCUAACUACGUG